CAGCAGCCGCCGCGGGAAUACAGAGGGUGCGAGCGUUAUCCGGAAUCAUUGGGUUUAAAGGGUCCGUAGGCGGUCUUGUAAGUCAGUGGUGAAAGCCCAUCGCUCAACGGUGGAACGGCCAUUGAUACUGCAGGACUUGAAUUAUUGGGAAGUAACUAGAAUAUGUAGUGUAGCGGUGAAAUGCUUAGAGAUUACAUGGAAUACCAAUUGCGAAGGCAGGUUACUACCAAUUGAUUGACGCUGAUGGACGAAAGCGUGGGUAGCGAACAGGAUUAGAUACCCCGUAGUCCCUGUCUCUUAUACA
Molecule: ribosomal RNA, 304 nt
Filed under: uncultured bacterium
Lineage: Bacteria
Description: partial 16S ribosomal RNA
Rfam family: Bacterial small subunit ribosomal RNA
Source: RNAcentral